RNAcentral lists this ribosomal RNA (424 nucleotides) under uncultured prokaryote. RNAcentral's name for it is "bacterial SSU rRNA". It matches the Rfam family "Bacterial small subunit ribosomal RNA", at positions 355 to 796 of the family's 1533-position model. The record is from RNAcentral.
UGGGGAAUAUUGGACAAUGGGCGAAAGCCUGAUCCAGCCAUGCCGCGUGAGUGAAGAAGGCCCUAGGGUUGUAAAGCUCUUUCAGCGGGGAAGAUAAUGACGGUACCCGCAGAAGAAGCCCCGGCCAACUCCGUGCCAGCAGCCGCGGUAAGACGGAGGGGGCUAGCGUUGCUCGGAAUUACUGGGCGUAAAGCGCGCGUAGGCGGUACGGCAAGUUGGGCGUGAAAGCCCAGGGCUCAACCCUGGAAUUGCGCUCAAAACUGCCGCACUGGAGUCCGGGAGAGGAGAGUGGAAUUCCCAGUGUAGAGGUGAAAUUCGUAGAUAUUGGGAAGAACACCAGUGGCGAAGGCGGCUCUCUGGCCCGGUACUGACGCUGAGGUGCGAAAGCGUGGGGAGCAAACAGGAUUAGAUACCCCCGUAGUCC